UCGAUUAGAUACCCCGGUAGUCCCAGCCGUAAACGAUGCUCGCUAGGUGUCAGGCAUGGCGCGACCGUGUCUGGUGCCGCAGGGAAGCCGUGAAGCGAGCCACCUGGGAAGUACGGCCGCAAGGCUGAAACUUAAAGGAAUUGGCGGGGGAGCACAACAACGGGUGGAGCCUGCGGUUUAAUUGGACUCAACGCCGGACAACUCACCGGGGACGACAGCAAAAUGUAGGCCAGGCUGAAGACCUUGCCUGAAUCGCUGAGAGGAGGA
Molecule: ribosomal RNA, 267 nt
Filed under: uncultured Methanosarcina sp.
Lineage: Archaea; Methanobacteriati; Methanobacteriota; Methanomicrobia; Methanosarcinales; Methanosarcinaceae
Description: partial 16S ribosomal RNA
Rfam family: Archaeal small subunit ribosomal RNA
Source: RNAcentral